This 102-nucleotide small RNA is filed under the name bovine gut metagenome. Its description in RNAcentral is "RT-5 RNA". It matches the Rfam family "RT-5 RNA". Rfam says of the family: Clostridium (Firmicutes). Environment (Cow rumen (57)) The record is from RNAcentral.
GCGCCUGCGAAGGACGCAGCAUUGUCCAUAACUCCGGGUUUGCAGGCGACCCGACAAUGUACCCGUCCCGUGAUCGGCAAUUUUGCCGAUUCAAAAUCCUUC